This is a long non-coding RNA of Nycticebus coucang (slow loris), 174 nucleotides long. RefSeq lists it as uncharacterized. The transcript is spliced from 3 exons. Lineage: Eukaryota; Metazoa; Chordata; Mammalia; Primates; Lorisidae. The record is from RefSeq and is a predicted model, not a curated record.
CGAAAAACUCAACCAGUAUGAGAAAGACUUGUCAAGUGCAAGUUUCGUGCAGAAAUCUCUGGAAGAUCAGUUAGCAGAGACUAUAAAAUGUAAAAGGAUGAUGGAAGACCUCAUGCAAAGCCUUGAAAAAGAAAAUUCAAAAAUGAAAGUAAACUUUGGAAAGGCACUGGACUG